This 3887-nucleotide unclassified non-coding RNA is filed under the name Bactrocera tryoni. RNAcentral describes it as "tyrosine-protein kinase hopscotch, transcript variant X2". Lineage: Eukaryota; Metazoa; Arthropoda; Insecta; Diptera; Tephritidae. The record is from RNAcentral.
UUUUUUUCAAAAUGGCGUAAAUUGAUAAAACGCAAGAAUUCGGAAAAGACAAAAAAGUUGCAUCGAUUUACAUUCAAUCUUAGUUAUAGUUUUUAAUUGUGGCUUGAAUUCUGUUAGUAAAAAAAUUGUUUUGAAAUUUAAGAAUAGAGAAAUGCGAAUAAUAAGAGAAAUUUAAAUCAAGUAUAUUACACUUCGGGUAGCUGCGUAAGCACUAAAUGCUGUUAAAUGAUACGAUUAUUGGGAGAAAAGUUUGAGAUCUCUCAGUGGAUUAUGAAUCAAGCUUCCAACACAUCUGGAACGACUAAUACCACCAUCACAUUACUUGAUACCAGUAGUGCCUCAUUUUCAAUGGGCGGCCGUAGCUCGAUUCAUAGUAAGGGGAGUAUAGGUAGCAGUAAUCAAGCUGACCCAUCCAUCUCCUCUACGCCAACAACAACCCCCGCUCCCCAAAUGUCAAAUAAAGUAUUUAACUACAAAGAUAACACAGAUACUGAUUUCGGAAAUUCCUUAAAAUGUGAGGAUAUAUGUUUAAGUGUAUGUCGACAUCUAAAGAUUUUACCCCCGACUCGAUUAUUAUUUGGGCUACGUGUUAUGGACUCUGAAAGUGAAUGGGCUGCCCCGGGUAAAGAAUUGAAACCUGGGGUCCGAUACUGUUUCCGCAUGAGAAUUAAAGUCCCAAAUAUGGAUACACAAUUAAAAAACCUGGAUAAACAAGCGUAUGAAUAUUUGUAUUGGCAGAUUCGUUACGAUAUAUUAAACGAAAAAAUUCCGGAAAUAAGGAAUCCAGAAAAAAAAGAUAAUGUUAUGGGUUUUGCUGUCAUGCACAUGUGUAUCGAUUUACAAGCAAAAAGUUCUGAAGCCGAAAGAAAGGAAGGGUAUAAUCGUGAAAUAAUUGGGAAUAUAGAAAAUAAAUACAAAGAAUAUCUACCCCAAACGCUUUUAAGAGAGCACAGAUAUUUUGUAAAAUCCAAAAUAUGUGCAAAAUUCAAAGAUGUACGAGAAAAAGACAUUUUGUUCACAGAAUUUAAAUUCUACUAUAUCGCCGAUGUUUGUAAGCUGGCACCAAAUUAUUUAAUGGAAGUUUAUUUUGUCACAGUAGAUUAUAUCCCAAAUGUUGAUUUGAUUUCCGUACAUUCACCUGCAAUUUGUAAUGAUGGCAAUGUGGAUAACAAAACAAGAGUAUAUGUUAAACUAGACACCCAUGAUAACCCAGAACCAGGUCUGAAGAUUUCGCUGAAACAAGAAAAAUGGACGCUAUUAGCAAAGAUUGAGGAUAUUUUUGCGAUAUAUAUCGAGGAUAAUGUGUGUGCGUGUUUGGAGAUAACAGGGCUACCACAAAGUUAUUGCAUGAGAUUUAAAUCAAAAGUCGAGUUAGAAUCAUUUAUCACAUACAUAGGAGGGUACUUGAGGCUAACCUCUAAGUGGUUAAAGGAUUUGUGUAGCGAUUAUACAACACCAUCAUUGAAUGAAUUGAUCGACUUAAAAUGCCAUGGGCCAAUAGGUGGAGCAUUUUCCUUUGCUAAAUUGAGAGAGAAAUCAAAAAAAGGCUCAACCUGCCUUAUAAGGCAAUGUGAGAGAGAAUACGACGUGUAUUAUAUCGAUAUAAAUACCCAGACGUCAGCAAGAGGUAGGUUUGGCGAGAACAUAAUAACUACUAAAAUUACACUACAAAACAAAAAAUGGUUGUUACACGGAGGUGAGGGCCUGAAGGAAUUUGAAACUCUAAAAGAUUUGAAGAAUUCAAUAUCCCCACAAAUGCCUUGGAUUCCGCCAUCAGAAUAUGAUUAUGCACCACUUCUUUUAAUUUGUUUGCCAAAAAAUCUACAUCCAAAGAAGACUGACACUGAAUUAAGUGAAGCUGAACUUCGAAGAAGACGAGUUCAAAUACUUGAUCGGAAGCAUGACCUCCGAUGGUAUAAAAAUACGCAGUAUGUUUGUGAUGACGCUAAAAUGAUGAUAAUGCAAGGAGACUGGGUCCAGGAAGGUAGUUGUAAAGACGUUAAUGUUAUGCUCAAGGUGUUUUUUCCAGAAAUCAAUCUUAAGGAUAUCACAUGUUUAACUAGUAUUUGCAGUCAAAUUUUUUCGGCACAAUUUCUGAAACUCUAUGGUUUGACUUUGACCACUCCUUAUACUAUGGUAAUGGAAUAUGCACCUUAUGGAAAUUUAGAUAAGUUCCUACGCAAACAUAAAGAUAAAAUCUCUUUCCAAAUGCUGAUAUCGAUUGUGUUUGAUUUGGUCAGAGGAAUAGUUUACCUGAGUGAGAAAGGAAUUUAUCACGGCUCAAUACGAUGUUCCAACAUGUACGUAACAAAAUUUGAUCCUAGAUCUCAUAUCAUUGAGACAAAAAUUGGUGAUCCCGGACUUCGUCGUAGUUAUUCAAACGAAGACUUGCCGUGGAUACCACAGGAAUAUUACAAUAAUCUCAAAGGCGUCCAUGGUGAUAUGUACGUAGACGCAUGGGCUUUCGCAACGACUCUAUGGGAGAUAUUUUCUUAUGGAAAAUCUCCUCUGGAAGAACUGAAUUGUACGGGAAACCCAAAGAAGAUUGCCGAAAAACUACAAAUGAAUCGUUCAAAGAGAGAUGGUGGCAUAUUGCCAAAACCAACUGAAAAUCUGGACGAUUCGAUAUAUUGUAUCAUGCUCGAUGGUUGGCAGUCGGAUGCACACAAACGUUUUAAUUACAUCAAAAUCUUUGCAAUCAUUAAUGGUUUCAAAGAAAGGAGAACGGUUAAUUACGAGUCAGUUAACAUCGAUAAAUCAUAUUAUGAUAGCGACACUUGUUCUGAAAAUAAUGAAAAUAGCGGAGAUGAUAUUUCAUUGGACUCCUGUCCAGGACCAUCACCCGCACAAAACCAACGAUUUUCACAUUUUGAUAUGUCUUUUAAUAGCCCAUUCGAUGACACUACUUUUGUAAUACCGUUUUCGGAGGGAAAAGUAAUUGUUGAUAAACGAAUAGGUGACGGUCAUUAUGGUAUUGUGUAUUCAGGCAUAAUAUAUUACAAAAAACCCGAUAAAGCACCGGAGAAAGUGGCAGUUAAAACAUUGAAACCCGAGAUGGCGACGAAUAUAAAAGAUUUUCUACGCGAAAGUGAAAUAAUGCGGGGUCUAGAGCACGAAAAUAUUGUAAAAAUUAAAUAUUCAAUCGAAAAACCUAUCUGCAUCAUAAUGGAAUUUGUUUCCGGUGGUUCUUUUAACGUUUACCUCAGAUCUCAGCGGCCGAAUUUAACUAACAAAAGGCUUCUUCAUUUCGCCCAUGAUAUUGCUAAGGGUAUGAAUUAUUUGGCGGAAAAGAAAAUUAUCCAUAGAGAUUUGGCAACACGGAACAUAUUGAUCGAAAAGGACAGAGUGAAAAUAUCUGAUUUCGGUUUGGCGCAAUUAGCAAAUUCCGAGGGCUAUUAUUUUGUACAAAACCAAAGGGAUAUACCCAUAAAAUGGUAUUCACCAGAAUCGAUAGCGGAAGAUAAGUAUUCCGUAUACUCUGAUGUAUGGUCUUUUGGCGUGACUAUGUUUGAGACUUUUUCUCGAGGAGAUAUUCCAAAUCUCGCUGGCAAUCGGGAGCUGAGCCAAAUAGAGUUUCUAGAACGGCUUCAGAAGGGAGAAAGACUCCAAAAACCAGAGUUAUGUUCUCAAAUUAUUUACGACAAAUUAAUGCUACCGUGUUGGAAAAGGGAACCAAAAAGCCGACCAGAUUUUGCCAAAAUACUUGACAUUAUACAGUUAAUUGUGGAAGAAGAUGGUGAAACCAUAUGAAAUUCGCGAUUUUUGGAUAAUUUAUCUGAAUAUAUCAAUUCCCAAUAGAUGCUAUUCAGUGAAAUUGAGUUGUAAUUAAACGUUAUUGUAAGACUUUUCUACAUAUAAAUUUGACCUGUGAAAUCUCGAGACCCAAA